ACACUCUCAAAAUGAAUGUGUUAAAAUCAUACACAUUUUUUGUGUUACUAUAUUUUAACAUUUGUUAUGUUAUAUUUACACAUCCUGUGUUAUUAUCCUAGACACACUUUUGAGUUAAUGCUAUUUUAACACAUAAAAUAGUUAUCAUGUGAAUUAAACACAACAUGUGUUAGCCACUGCUAGGUCAAAGAGGUUAUUAAUGAGAACACCUGCCAGGGUUAUUUUUUACCAAGCAGUGGCUUUAUUAAUUGUCCUACUUUUGAAUAAUUCUGGAAUCAUCUUUUUUUAUAAAUUCUGUAACUUUUUUCUUUAUUUAUUUUUAAUUUUUUGAGAGGGAGGAAGCCCCUCAGCAGGGGAAUCAAACCUCCAAACACCCAGUCUCAGGGUGGACCACAAGGCCACUGAACUGGUAUCUGAGACCAGAUUCUUGAGUAGCACUGUGCCCUGAAGACAGGAGUAUACCUUUCCUCACACACAGACGUAUGGUUCUCUUAAUUGACUAUGGUUUGGGUUGUACUAUUUUAACUCAAUAAAAAUAAAAUAUUAAGUUCCAUUUAGGGGGGAAAUAAAUCCAAAUAUAUAAGUCCCAUUUCUGUAGGACCCCCAGCUGAUAUGUCCACUUUACUCAGACACCUGGAUGGUCCCUGGCUGGGUGACCCUGGGUCAUGGAAGCUUGUAGCUCUAAUUUAGGGGUGUGGAUUGGAGCAAUGCACUGAGAAAGUUGCCACAUGAACCAGCUCUGGAAAAAAAUCAUGCUGUGUAAUCCCUUCUUUGAUCCUCCUGGGGGCAGCACUCGCCACUGCCUUCGAUGGCUUUGAAAUGCAACAAUGGCAGCUGUGCUAACAGCUACAGGCUAAUAAUCAAGCUCGCUGAGGAGUUGGUCUGCACUCACAAAUGUGUGAGAGGCACAUUUACAUUUGCAACUCAAACUAGACGCCACGGGAGUAACGCCAUUGUAACCCGGCCCAGCGCACAGCCUCGAGCCGCAGGGGACGGUUGUUUGACAUGCCAUGUCUGUAUUUUAGGUGUUCCAUUGUUGCACUGAUGGUUUAAGAAUGAAAUGUUUACAAAAUGUUUAAUGCUUAUACUCUGUGUUUGCACUAUAUUUUGCUCUCAAGUUUGCACUAAAGUCUUACAAAGUCCAAGAUUUUGCACUGCUGCCUGAGCCAAAUAAAUUUUAUAAAAGUGACUUGAAAUUCAAGCAAUUGUUUAUUCUUUUUAGUGACCAGGUUUGGUAAUUUAGCAGAUAAUCGCAGUAGCUCAGGAGGUAAGAGCGGUCGUCCAAUAACUGGAAGGUUGGCGGUUUGAUUCCCCCCCUAUCCGAAGUCUGUCCAUUGUGUCCUUGGGCAAGACACUUAACCCACCUUGCUCCCGGUGUGUGUCCACCACUGGUGUAUGAUUGUGAGUGUUGUGUGGUGGUCGGAGAGGCCGUAGGUGCAAACUUGCAGCCACGUUUCCGUCAGUCUGCCCCAGGGCAGCUGUGACUACUAAGGUAGUUUACCACCACCAAAGUGUGACUGUGUGAGCGAAUGAAUGCUGUAUCCAAUGUAAAGCGCUUUGAGGGUCUCUGAUAAAGCGCUAUAUGAAAUCUGAUGCAUUAUUAUUAUUAUUUAUUUGACUGAAUAAGAUCUCCACUUCAUCCUUUUCCCCAGUUUUUUAUCCCUCCCACAUCUCCUUCUAUUCUAAACCCACUAUCAGUACUAUGACAAGUACUACAGCUAAUAUGACUACUACUAUCACUUCUAUCACUAUUCAUCUUACUACUACUACCACUAAAACUUCUACAACUCCUUACUCAAACCCUCCUGGGGAUCUUUUAGGUCCUAUCAGUUGUAUUUUUGCUGUCAUUUUCACCUUCAUUAUGCUGGUAUGACAAUAAUUUUUUAAGGUGUUAAUUUUUUUAAUGAAUUUCUAUUUCCCACAAUGUGUGGAUUAAGUUAACCACUGUGUUAACCACCUUUCCAUCGAGUGAAGUGUGAAAUUUCAGAGUGUCCCUGAACGCCUCAAACAUUUCUACCGGGACUCUGCCUUGGCUCGUGCUAUCCUGCUGCAUCUUACAGAAGGGUGAGUCAGAGCUGAGUCUCUGUCAACGUCUAAACAUUAAAAAUUGGGAUUUAACCUUUCAAGACGGCACUGGUUUGAGUUAUAAUCGAUGAAGAGUUCAUUCAUGAUUGAAGUGGUCAAGAUGUUGACUUGAAAAAGCUUACGCCAACAGCGUUAGCAUCGAGCUAGCGGCGUUAGCGGCGUUAGCGUCGUUAGCGUCGAGCUAACGAUAAAGCUAACAUACCGUCAUUUAUGGGGCAGUGUGACUGUAAGUGUGACUGUGUGAGCGAAUGAAUGAUGAUCCAAUGUAAAGCGCAAUGCAAUUUGUAAAUUGUAUGAAAAUAAAACACUUUUGUGUGAAGAAUACAUAACGCAGCUAUGUGUAAAUUGCAUGAAAAUAUGACACAGCUCUGUGUUAUCUUUGUGUAAACCCAACACAGUUGAUGUGUUGACACAUUUAACACACAACAUGUGUAAGAUCUGUCAACACAAAGUCAUGUGUCACAACAACACAUUGUGUGUUGUCCUUAACUAGACACACGGAUGUGUUAAGAAAUAACACAUGAUGAGUUACUUUUGACACAUUUGUUUUGAGAGUGUAC
This is a non-coding RNA of Xyrichtys novacula (pearly razorfish), 2645 nucleotides long. The record is from the annotation of a GenBank genome assembly. NCBI's taxonomy places the organism in Eukaryota, Metazoa, Chordata, Actinopteri, Labriformes, Labridae.